GAUGAACGCUGGCGGCGUGCCUAAUACAUGCAAGUCGAGCGAACGGACGAGAAGCUUGCUUCUCUGAUGUUAGCGGCGGACGGGUGAGUAACACGUGGAUAACCUACCUAUAAGACUGGGAUAACUUCGGGAAACCGUAGCUAAUACCGGAUAAUAUUUUGAACCGCAUGGUUCAAAAGUGAAAGACGGUCUUGCUGUCACUUAUAGAUGGAUCCGCGCUGCAUUAGCUAGUUGGUAAGGUAACGGCUUACCAAGGCAACGAUGCAUAGCCGACCUGAGAGGGUGUUCGGCCACACUGGAACUGAGACACGGUCCAGACUCCUACGGGAGGCAGCAGUAGGGAAUCUUCCGCAGUGGGCGAAAGCCUGACAGAGCAACGCCGAGUGAGUGAUGAAGGUCUUCGGAUCGUAAAACUCUGUUAUUAGGGAAGAACAUAUGUGUAAGUAACUGUGCACAGCUUGACGGUACCUAAUCAGAAAGCCACGGCUAACUACGUG
This 497-nucleotide ribosomal RNA is filed under the name uncultured bacterium. RNAcentral's name for it is "partial 16S ribosomal RNA". It matches the Rfam family "Bacterial small subunit ribosomal RNA", at positions 28 to 507 of the family's 1533-position model. The record is from RNAcentral.